AGCUACAUCCGUCACCUGACACGGCCCUACCAGGAACAGCCGCGCUCCCGCGGAUUCUGGUGCUGCUCGCGUCCCCGCUCCCCUAUUCCCCUUAUUUUAUUCCUGGCUCCCCUCGUCGAAAGUCUUCCAUUCUUCAAACUAGAUUAUUUAAAAAUGAAAAAGGAAGAAAGGAAAGCGAGGUCAUCUCAUUGCUCUAUCCGCCAAUCAGGAGGCUGAAUGUCAGUUUUGAACUAAAAGCCGCUCCGCUCCUCUUCUAGAUUUGGAAAACAAGCGAAAUUAAACUAAACCGCUGCACGCCUCUGACGCGACAUCUGGACACGGCGCGGCGCUGGCGCUGCCGGAGCUGUCGACCCGGCCUGGCGCCGGACUAGUGUCCCUUUUGAUGAGAAGAAUAAGCCUCAUUCUGAUUCAACAGCAGAGAUCAAAGAAAAGACUUCUGUUUUCUGGCCACCAGAUAUAUGUUAUCUGUGCUUAAAGAAUUGAAAAACACACAUCAAAGGAGAAUUUUCUUGGAAAGAGAGGGUUCAAGCAUCACUGUUAGGUGUGCUGGAAUCCUUUCCCGAGUCAGUACUGCUUUCUAGAAGAAAACCGGGGAGAUCUAUUUGGAAUGUAUCUAACUCCAAAGAAACCAUCAGAGGUAACAGAUUGGCUUCUCUCACAUGGCAAGAAACAUUGCUGCUAGCACUUCCCGAGUUCUACGUUCUACAACAUCCACCACUGCUAUGUCUCACAGUCCAGACUUGGAGUACAAGUAAUAAGAAGAAUAAAACUUAAUCCCUUAAGUAGAUUCACCAUAAGUUAGCUCAGAGCAAUUCCAGUGCAAGUAUGGUCUGUGAUCCAGUAGUAUCUUACAGACAGCAAGUUGAACAUUGUGGGAUGCAUGAGCUAUUGAGGCCUUUGCAGCUUUCUGCUACAUGGAGGCUAGGGCCAGAGUCAAGAUUUAUGCUUUGCAGCACACUGGUCAGCUGUUUUUGCAAAUCAGAUUAAAUGAUUUUUAAAUGAGGCUGAGAGCAUGGGAGAUACUAAUGUGUGUUUCCUUGUGAGCUACUGCAUAAGUUAGGAAAUUGAAAUACAGAAAGAUGAAAAGUGAUUUGCCCAAGCAUAUAGAUCAAAGCUGUGGCAGAACCAGGACUGGAACCUAUAUCUCUCUACUAAUGGUUUUUUUAAAAAAAUAACCUUGUUUCAAAAAUAUUAAAAAGUCACAAGAAAGGUAAACAUGUGGAUAAACAAAAUGAAGAAAAUAAAAAUUAUCCAGUAAUAACAUA
Molecule: long non-coding RNA, 1265 nt
Filed under: Homo sapiens (human)
Lineage: Eukaryota; Metazoa; Chordata; Mammalia; Primates; Hominidae
Description: CDKN2B and CDKN2A antisense cis and trans regulatory RNA 1, transcript variant 6 (CDKN2B-AS1)
Rfam family: CDKN2B antisense RNA 1 convserved region 3 (bases 379-522)
Source: RNAcentral